RNAcentral lists this ribosomal RNA (461 nucleotides) under uncultured beta proteobacterium. Its description in RNAcentral is "bacterial SSU rRNA". It matches the Rfam family "Bacterial small subunit ribosomal RNA", at positions 200 to 642 of the family's 1533-position model. The record is from RNAcentral. Lineage: Bacteria; Pseudomonadati; Pseudomonadota; Betaproteobacteria.
AGAAAAGCAGGGGAUCGUAAGACCUUGCGCUUUUGGAGCGGCCGAUGUCUGAUUAGCUAGUUGGUGAGGUAAAGGCUUACCAAGGCUUCGAUCAGUAGCUGGUCUGAGAGGACGACCAGCCACACUGGGACUGAGACACGGCCCAGACUCCUACGGGAGGCAGCAGUGGGGAAUUUUGGACAAUGGGGGCAACCCUGAUCCAGCCAUGCCGCGUGAGUGAAGAAGGCCUUCGGGUUGUAAAGCUCUUUCAGCCGGAACGAAAAGGUUACGGUUAAUACCCGUGACUAAUGACGGUACCGGGAGAAGAAGCACCGGCUAACUACGUGCCAGCAGCCGCGGUAAUACGUAGGGUGCGAGCGUUAAUCGGAAUUACUGGGCGUAAAGCGUGCGCAGGCGGUUUUGUAAGUCAGAUGUGAAAUCCCCGGGCUUAACCUGGGAACUGCGUUUGAAACUACAAGGCU